RNAcentral lists this ribosomal RNA (1473 nucleotides) under Drosophila sechellia. RNAcentral's name for it is "eukaryotic LSU rRNA". It matches the Rfam family "Eukaryotic large subunit ribosomal RNA", at positions 1924 to 3185 of the family's 3401-position model. The record is from RNAcentral. Lineage: Eukaryota; Metazoa; Arthropoda; Insecta; Diptera; Drosophilidae.
AGAUCCGUAACUCGGGAUAAGGAUGCUCUGAAGAUUGAGAUAGUCGGGCUUGAUUGGGAACAAUAACAUGGUUUAUGUGCUCGUUCUGGGUAAAUAGAGUUUCUAGCAUUUAUGUUAGUUACUUGUUCCCCGGAUAGUUUAGUUACGUAGCCAAUUGUGGAACUUUCUUGCUAAAAUUUUUAAGAAUACUAUUUGGGUUAAACCAAUUAGUUCUUAUCAAUUAUAACGAUUAUCAAUUAACAAUCAAUUCAGAACUGGCACGGACUUGGGGAAUCCGACUGUCUAAUUAAAACAAAGCAUUGUGAUGGCCCUAGCGGGUGUUGACACAAUGUGAUUUCUGCCCAGUGCUCUGAAUGUCAAAGUGAAGAAAUUCAAGUAAGCGCGGGUCAACGGCGGGAGUAACUAUGACUCUCUUAAGGUAGCCAAAUGCCUCGUCAUCUAAUUAGUGACGCGCAUGAAUGGAUUAACGAGAUUCCUACUGUCCCUAUCUACUAUCUAGCGAAACCACAGCCAAGGGAACGGGCUUGGAAUAAUUAGCGGGGAAAGAAGACCCUUUUGAGCUUGACUCUAAUCUGGCAGUGUAAGGAGACAUAAGAGGUGUAGAAUAAGUGGGAGAUAUUAGACCUCGGUUUGGUAUCGUCAAUGAAAUACCACUACUCUUAUUGUUUCCUUACUUACUUGAUUAAAUGGAACGUGUAUCAUUUCCUAGCCAUUAUACGGAUAUAUUUAUUAUAUCUUAUGGUAUUGGGUUUUGAUGCAAGCUUCUUGAUCAAAGUAUCACGAGUUUGUUAUAUAAUCGCAAACAAAUUCUUUAAUAAAACGAUGCAUUUAUGUAUUUUUGAUUUGAAAAUUUGGUAUAACUCCAAUUACUCAGGUAUGAUCCAAUUCAGGACAUUGCCAGGUAGGGAGUUUGACUGGGCGGUACAUCUCUCAAAUAAUAACGGAGGUGUCCCAAGGCCAGCUCAGUGCGGACAGAAACCACACAUAGAGCAAAAGGGCAAAUGCUGACUUGAUCUCGGUGUUCAGUACACACAGGGACAGCAAAAGCUCGGCCUAUCGAUCCUUUUGGUUUAAAGAGUUUUUAACAAGAGGUGUCAGAAAAGUUACCAUAGGGAUAACUGGCUUGUGGCGGCCAAGCGUUCAUAGCGACGUCGCUUUUUGAUCCUUCGAUGUCGGCUCUUCCUAUCAUUGUGAAGCAAAAUUCACCAAGCGUUGGAUUGUUCACCCAUGCAAGGGAACGUGAGCUGGGUUUAGACCGUCGUGAGACAGGUUAGUUUUACCCUACUAAUGACAAAACGUUGUUGCGACAGCAUUCCUGCGUAGUACGAGAGGAACCGCAGGUACGGACCAAUGGCACAAUACUUGUUCGAGCGAACAGUGGUAUGACGCUACGUCCGUUGGAUUAUGCCUGAACGCCUCUAAGGUCGUAUCCGUGCUGGACUGCAAUGAUAAAUAAGGGGCAAUUUGCAUUGU